UUAAUAGAGAGUUUGAGCAAGACAACGAAGUACGAAGACGAAGGCAUACUUGACAAUUUUUGCCGUGUGUACAUUAUCUUGCGCAUACUAAGUUGGACGUCACUGGUGGUUGCACAACGUGUCUUCCCAUGUGUCGCUGUUUAUAAAUACUGACCAUAGUUCUUGCCCUGAUCCAUAAAAAACAGCGAGACAUGAAACUAUAUCCCGUCUUUGUCCUUCUGCCUUCGUGCAGAACGAAGUUCACAACGAAUUUUGCCAAAAUAUUCGUUGUGAACGAAGGCAGAAGACGAAGACGGGAUAUGGAUUCAUGUCUCGCUGUUUUAUCCUGAUCAGGGUAAGGAUUUGAGUCAGCAUUCACAAACAGCUAGACAUGAAUCUCUAAUCUGUCUUCACUCCUGACCCUAAACUCAGAAUGUGCAAGGUAAUGUGAAAGACAGGCAAAAAUUGUCAACCACGUCGUCGUCGUCCGACUUCGUUCUCUUGCUCAAACUCUCUAAUAAUGGAAGGGGGGCGGUGGGUGAGAAAAGGGGGCGGCUUCAACUAUUUUUGCCUGUAUUGGGGGCGGCCUCAAAUUGAAAAUUAUGUGACAAGGGGCAACCCCAAUUUUUUAAUAUUUUCCUACUCAUUUUCAAUCCCUCGCCUUUAUCGUAUCCCACAAAAUAUUUCACCUUUUUC
Paramuricea clavata is the source of this 675-nucleotide non-coding RNA. NCBI's taxonomy places the organism in Eukaryota, Metazoa, Cnidaria, Anthozoa, Malacalcyonacea, Plexauridae. The record is from the annotation of a GenBank genome assembly.